RNAcentral lists this ribosomal RNA (500 nucleotides) under uncultured bacterium. Its description in RNAcentral is "bacterial SSU rRNA". It matches the Rfam family "Bacterial small subunit ribosomal RNA", at positions 28 to 507 of the family's 1533-position model. The record is from RNAcentral.
AAUGAACGCUGGCGGCGUGCCUAACACAUGCAAGUCGUGCGCGAAAGGGGCUUCGGCCCCGAGUAGAGCGGCAGACGGGUGAGUAACACGUGGGUAACCUGCCCAGAAGUGGGGGAUAACCUGGGGGAAACUCGGGCUAAUACCGCAUACGUUCGCGGGGUUCUGCUCCGCGAGGAAAGCCGGCCUAUGCUUGCAAGCUGGCGCUUUUGGAGGGGCCCGCGGCUGAUUAGCUUGUUGGUGGGGUAAUGGCCUACCAAGGCGACGAUCAGUAGCCGGCCUGAGAGGGUGAACGGCCACACUGGAACUGAGACACGGUCCAGACUCCUACGGGAGGCAGCAGUGGGGAAUAUUGGACAAUGGGCGCAAGCCUGAUCCAGCAACGCCGCGUGGAGGAUGAAGGCCUUCGGGUUGUAAACUCCUGUUAGGGGGAACGAAGGGUCACGGGUUAACAGCCGGUGACCUUGACGGUACCUCCAGAGGAAGCCCCGGCUAACUCUGUG